UUUGACUCCUGGCUCGAGGACACGCUGGCGGCGUGCCUAACACAUGCAAGUCGAACGAGGUCCAUCCUUCGGGAGAAGACCUAGUGGCGAACGGGUGAGUAACACGUGAAGAACCUGCCCCGAAGACCGGGAUAACCCUCCGAAAGGAGAGCUAAUACCGGAUACCCCCACCGAACCGCAUGGUUUGGUGAGGAAAUGGAUUCCGCUUCGGGAGGGCUUCGCGGCCUAUCAGCUAGUUGGUGGGGUAACGGCCCACCAAGGCAUCGACGGGUAGCUGGUCUGAGAGGACGAUCAGCCACACUGGGACUGAGACACGGUCCAGACUCCUACGGGAGGCAGCAGUGGGGAAUCUUGCGCAAUGGGCGAAAGCCUGACGCAGCAACGCCGCGUGGGGAUGAAGGCUCUCGGGUUGUAAACCCCUUUCAGCAGGGACGAAUCAAGACGGUACCUGCAGAAGAAGCCCCGGCUAACUACGUG
Molecule: ribosomal RNA, 477 nt
Filed under: uncultured bacterium
Lineage: Bacteria
Description: bacterial SSU rRNA
Rfam family: Bacterial small subunit ribosomal RNA
Source: RNAcentral